UGUGUGUGCGCGCGCCUGCCCGUGUGUGCGCGCGUAUAUUUGGUAGUGCGUGUGCGUGUGUGUGUGUGUUUGUGUUUGUGUUUGUGUGUGUGUGUGUGUGUGUGUGUGUGUUUGUGUGCGCGUUAUCUUCCGUGUGCCGUUAGUGUCGUAAUAUUGUAGCUGCGGGCCCAGCGAUCGCAUCGCCGCCUCCGCCAACGCCGCCGAACGGUCGACCCGACCAAGAGAUUCGUCGAACCGACCGACGACAUUAAUUGUCACAUCGUGUCGUGGAACGAAUAAGGAUGAGUACCAACAGCGAUAACGCCGCUAGGCUGAACGUGCCGGAUGAGUUGAGAGAAUUGCUGCUCGACUUCACGAUCGGUUACUUGCUCGAGCAGCCCAACAAUCUCAUCGACUAUGGCAUAGAGUUCUUCGAAAAACUCAAGAACACCAAGUCGUCCUCCAGCACAAAGCAGCAGACCGCUGGAGAUUUUAGCGACGAAGACGACGCUUCAGACAUAGAAGCUCCACCAACACGUUAUAGUUCUAGACGUAAAUCAGUUUUUGCAGAAACAUAUAAUCCAGAAGAAGAUGAAGAAGAAGAGGGACCAAAUGUUGUAUUUCCUAAAUCUGAUGAUCAACGUCAAGCACUUGCAGCUAGUGUUAAAAAUAUAUUCAUAUUCAGGGCCUUGGAUCCUGAACAAAUGAACAAUGUGAUUGAUGCAAUGUUUGAUCGCGAGGUGCAUGCUGGAGAUGAUAUUAUUAAACAGGGUGAUGAUGGUGAUAACUUUUAUGUUAUCGAUAGAGGUACAUUUGAAGCUUAUGUCACGGAUGCAGAUGGAAAUGACCGUUUGGUGCAUACAUAUGAACAUAAAGGUAGUUUUGGAGAACUUGCAUUACUUUAUAACAUGCCUCGAGCAGCAACUAUUAAAGCAAAGUCAGAUGGCCUUCUGUGGGCUAUGGAUCGUCAGAUAUUUAGACGUAUUGUAUUGAAGAGUGCAUUUAAAAAACGUAAAAUGUAUGAAGAGCUCAUUGAAGUGGUUCCUAUGUUAAAAACAUUACAAUCAUAUGAGCGCAUGAAUUUGGCUGACGCUCUAGUCCCUAAAUACUACCAAGACAAAGAUUGCAUUAUAAAUCAAGGUGAUCCGGGUGAUGGCAUGUAUUUUGUAGAGGAAGGCAUUGUUAAUGUAUUAGUAACCAGUGAAACUGGUGAACAAAUUAAGGUUAAUCAAAUAGAAAAAGGUGGUUAUUUUGGUGAACUGGCUCUUGUCACACAUAAAGGUCGUGCUGCGUCAGUGUUUGCUGAAGGCAAAGUCAAACUAGCAUUUUUGGACGUUGAUGCAUUUGAACGUUUGCUGGGUCCAUGCAUGAACAUAAUGCAACGGAAUAUCGAGGACUAUGAAAAUCAACUGGUGAAAAUCUUUGGCUCCAAGCAAAAUAUGACUGAUGUCCGAUGAAUGGUUAACGUUUGACCGGUCGCUACGAUUGUGUUGUACAUCCAUUGACCAUUUGUAGUUGUAUUUUUUCUUAUCCUAACGAUGUUUGAUACAGUUUCAUAAUACAAACAAUUACAAUCAAACAAAUUGACAUCCCUUUUUGUAUACAUAACGUGUAUAUAAUAUAAUAUAUAAUAAUUAUAUUGAUAUGAUAAUCUUUUUGAACAACUACAUCAUAACCUAAGAUAUAAACGACUGUAUUACUUCAAUUUUAUUGUGCGCUUUGAUAUGAAUGUUAGUUGCGUGAUGACAUGUAUAUUAUAUAAUACGAAGAUGAUUAAUACUAAUAUAUCUACAAGAGCUGUAUUUUUAGUCGUACAUUUUAGGUUUCAAAACGAUAUAAUACUAUGAUAAAUACUAUUGUUACUUCGCGGUGUUAUUAUUAUCACGAGGAAUGAUGAACACAAUUUGGUUUUUCAAUUUACUUUGUUCAAAUGUCUAUCUGGGGUAAAGUUUUCUAUUCUUUAUAUAAUAUAAUAAUAAUUACAAUGCAGUACGAGAGUAUUUGAUUAUUAGAAUUUAAGCAGAUUCUAUCUCAUCUCGACCAAUAAACUUUAUUUAAGGCGAACUUCGUUUAAUUGUUAGGUCGUUCAAUAUAAAAACUAGACAUACGUUGCCGAAUCGUUUCUCUUUUAUAUUACACAACAAAAAUCGUAUGCUGUAUCCGAUUGAUCGUGCGUUGAGUAGUUAAAAUAACUUUGGGAUUUCGGGCGAGCCACAGCUCUUAGACAGACUACAUGUUUUAAUGUAAUUUUCCACUGACAUUAAGUUACCUUUUUUUUAACCUCAAAUGUUUGUCGCGAUGUUCACAAUUUUUCAAUUUGUUUUUAUUUAUCUCUUGCUAGUAACGAACCACAAAAACUCCUGAAACACGCUCCCGAACGUAAUUUCACAUUGUAUGAGAAAUAUGUACCUAUAUGUAAUGCCACGACAUUAAUCUUUGUGCUACUCCACCACCUUAAACGGAUUUUGUGUAAUUCAAUUAUAAACAUGUAUGCCUCGCUUUUUUCUUUUUAAUAUUAAAAAACAUUCGGUGACGGAAUGAUUCCAAGAUGACUGCCCUGUAAUAACCCUGUUAGAGAUAAAAUGCCGUUUUAAAAACUAUAACCGUGUACCAAAACACCUCUAGGCCAUAAUCAACUAACCCCAAUAAUAUUAUUUUAUUUAGGCGGUAGGUGAUAAAAAUUUAACAAAAAUAGCCAUAUAAUAAUAUAUAUAUAUAUAUACCUAUGAAGACUUAAUUUAGAUGUUUAAUUCAUAAUGUUAGAGUCACAAUUAUUAUGAUUAAUAAUUAUAAUAUAAUAAUAAUGUUUUAUAUAAUAUAUAAUAUCCGGGUGCAAUAAAUGUAUAGGUUUUACAUUUAUCUAUACAUUAUUAUUUAUAGGUAACCCAAUAAUUUUGUUUUUGUUUUGUGUUUUAUGUUUGUUUUUAUUUUGUCUUACUCUAGUUGUUAUUUAACACACCCAUCGUAUUAGGCACGUAAAAUAUUGUAUCGUAGUAAUUGUUUUUUUUCUAUCGUAUUAGUGAAAUAAUA
Molecule: unclassified non-coding RNA, 3009 nt
Filed under: Rhopalosiphum maidis (corn leaf aphid)
Lineage: Eukaryota; Metazoa; Arthropoda; Insecta; Hemiptera; Aphididae
Description: cAMP-dependent protein kinase type II regulatory subunit, transcript variant X1
Source: RNAcentral